Molecule: ribosomal RNA, 253 nt
Filed under: uncultured bacterium
Lineage: Bacteria
Description: partial 16S ribosomal RNA
Rfam family: Bacterial small subunit ribosomal RNA
Source: RNAcentral
UACGGGGGGGGCGAGCGUUGUCCGAAGUUACUGGGCGUAAAGCGCGUGUAGGCGGGUUGUUAAGUCCGCUGUGAAAGCCCGGUGCGCAACGCCGGAGGGUCGGUGGAUACUGGCAGUCUUGAAGUGGCUAGGGGGAAAUGGAAUUACCGGUGUAGCGGUGAAAUGCGUAGAUAUCGGUAGGAACACCAGUGGCGAAGGCGGUUUCCUGGAGCUAACUUGACGCUGAGACGCGAAAGCUGGGGGAGCAAACGGG